AUAGGAUGUCCACCACGGAUUAUGGGGUGCCCCCCUGGAUUAUGGGGUGUCCCCAUGGGUUAUGAGGUGUCCCCAUGUCAUUUUUGGGGUGACCCCAUGGAUUAUAGGAUGUGCACCAUGGAUUAUGGGGUGUCCCCAUGGAUUAUAGGGUGUCCCUAUGGCAUUUUUGGGGUGUCCCCAUGGAUUUUGGGGUGUCCUGUGUCAUUUUUGGGGCAUCCUAUGGCAUUUUUGGGGUGACCCCAUAGAUUAUAGGAUGUCCCUGUGUCAUUUUUGGGGUGUCUCAUGGUUUUUUGGGGUGUCCCCAUGGAUUUGGGGUGUUCUCAUGGCAUUUUUGGGGUGGCCCUAUGGAUUAUGGGGUCCACCAUGGAUUAUGGGGUGUCCCCAUGGAUUAUAGGGUGUCUCCCUGUCACUUUGGGGUGACCCCAUGGCAUUUUGGGGUGACCCCAUAGAUUAUGGGGUCCACCAUGGAUUAUGGGGUGUCCCCAUGGGUUAUGGGGUGUCCCCGUGUCAUUUUGGGGUGACCCCAUGUCAUUUUUGGGGUGACCCCAUGGACUAUAGGAUGCCCCCGUGUCUUUUUUGGGGUGUCUCCCUGUCAUUUUGGGGUGUCCUGUGUCAUUUUUGGGGCAUCCUAUGGCAUUUUUGGGGUGACCCCGUAGAUUUUGGGGUGUCCCUGUGUCAUUUUUGGGGUGACCCCAUGGAUUAUAGGAUGUCCACCAUGGAUUAUGGGGUGUCCCCAUGGAUUUCGGGGUGAUUCCCUGUCAUUUUGGGGUGACCCCAUGGCAUUUUUGGGGUGACCCCAUGGUCUAUAGGAUGUCCACCAUGGAUUAUGGGGUGUCCCCCUGGAUUAUGGGGUGUCCCCAUAGAUUUUGGGGUGACCCCAUGGAUUUUGGGGUGUCCCCAUGUCAUUUUUGGGGUGUCCCCGUGCCAUUUUGGGGUGCCCCCAUGGCUUAUGGGAUGUCCCCAUGGAUUUUGGGGUGUCCUGUGUCAUUUUUGGGGCAUCCUAUGGCAUUUUUGGGGUGACCCCAUAGAUUAUAGGAUGCCCCCAUGUCAUUUUUGGGGUGUCUCCCUGUCAUUUUGGGGUGACCCCAUAGAUUAUAGGAUGCCCCUGUGUCAUUUUUGGGGUGUCUCCCUGUCA
This 1135-nucleotide long non-coding RNA is filed under the name Phasianus colchicus (ring-necked pheasant). RNAcentral's name for it is "lncRNA (ENSPCLG00000015191.1)". Lineage: Eukaryota; Metazoa; Chordata; Aves; Galliformes; Phasianidae. The record is from RNAcentral.